Molecule: ribosomal RNA, 465 nt
Filed under: uncultured bacterium
Lineage: Bacteria
Description: partial 16S ribosomal RNA
Rfam family: Bacterial small subunit ribosomal RNA
Source: RNAcentral
GACGAACGCUGGCGGCGUGCUUAACACAUGCAAGUCGAACGGAAAGGCCCCUUUGGGGGUACUCGAGUGGCGAACGGGUGAGUAACACGUGAGUAACCUGCCCUUGACUUCGGGAUAACUUCAGGAAACUGGGGCUAAUACCGGAUAGGAAUCCUUGCUGCAUGGUGGGGGUUGGAAAGCUUCGGCGGUUUUGGAUGGACUCGCGGCUUAUCAGCUUGUUGGUGGGGCAGUGGCUUACCAAGGCUUUGACGGGUAGCCGGCCUGAGAGGGCGACCGGCCACAUUGGGACUGAGAUACGGCCCAGACUCCUACGGGAGGCAGCAGUGGGGAAGAUUGCACAAUGGGCGGAAGCCUGAUGCAGCAACGCCGCGUGCGGGAUGACGGACUUCGGGUUGUAAACCGCUUUCAGCAGGGGCGAAGCUUGUGGUGACGGUACCUGCAGAAGAAGCACCGGCUAACUACGUG